UAUUUCAAAAAGCGGAGGAAAAGAAACCAACAGGGAUUGCCCUAGUAACGGCGAGUGAAGCGGCAACAGCUCAAAUUUGAAAGCUAGCCUUCGGGUUCGCAUUGUAAUUUGUAGAGGAUGCUUUGGGUAAAACGCCAGUCUAAGUUCCUUGGAACAGGACGUCAUAGAGGGUGAGAAUCCCGUAUGUGACUGGAAAUGUUAACCUAUGUAAAGCUCCUUCGACGAGUCGAGUUGUUUGGGAAUGCAGCUCUAAAUGGGAGGUAAAUUUCUUCUAAAGCUAAAUAUUGGCGAGAGACCGAUAGCGCACAAGUAGAGUGAUCGAAAGAUGAAAAGCACUUUGGAAAGAGAGUUAAAAAGCACGUGAAAUUGUUGAAAGGGAAGCGCUUGCAAUCAGACUUGUUUAAACUGUUCGGCCGGUCUUCUGACCGGUUUACUCAGUUUGGACAGGCCAGCAUCAGUUUCGGCGGCCGGAUAAAGGCUCUGGGAAUGUGGCCUCCACUUCGGUGGAGGUGUUAUAGCCCAGUGUGUAAUACGGCCAGCCGGGACUGAGGUCCGCGCUUCGGCUAGGAUGCUGGCGUAAUGGUUGUAAGCGACCCGUCUUGACAAA
Molecule: ribosomal RNA, 607 nt
Filed under: Aureobasidium pullulans
Lineage: Eukaryota; Fungi; Ascomycota; Dothideomycetes; Dothideales; Saccotheciaceae
Description: eukaryotic LSU rRNA
Rfam family: Eukaryotic large subunit ribosomal RNA
Source: RNAcentral